RNAcentral lists this ribosomal RNA (1110 nucleotides) under Lactiplantibacillus plantarum subsp. plantarum. Its description in RNAcentral is "bacterial SSU rRNA". It matches the Rfam family "Bacterial small subunit ribosomal RNA", at positions 341 to 1444 of the family's 1533-position model. Lineage: Bacteria; Bacillati; Bacillota; Bacilli; Lactobacillales; Lactobacillaceae. The record is from RNAcentral.
ACGGGAGGCAGCAGUAGGGAAUCUUCCACAAUGGACGAAAGUCUGAUGGAGCAACGCCGCGUGAGUGAAGAAGGGUUUCGGCUCGUAAAACUCUGUUGUUAAAGAAGAACAUAUCUGAGAGUAACUGUUCAGGUAUUGACGGUAUUUAACCAGAAAGCCACGGCUAACUACGUGCCAGCAGCCGCGGUAAUACGUAGGUGGCAAGCGUUGUCCGGAUUUAUUGGGCGUAAAGCGAGCGCAGGCGGUUUUUUAAGUCUGAUGUGAAAGCCUUCGGCUCAACCGAAGAAGUGCAUCGGAAACUGGGAAACUUGAGUGCAGAAGAGGACAGUGGAACUCCAUGUGUAGCGGUGAAAUGCGUAGAUAUAUGGAAGAACACCAGUGGCGAAGGCGGCUGUCUGGUCUGUAACUGACGCUGAGGCUCGAAAGUAUGGGUAGCAAACAGGAUUAGAUACCCUGGUAGUCCAUACCGUAAACGAUGAAUGCUAAGUGUUGGAGGGUUUCCGCCCUUCAGUGCUGCAGCUAACGCAUUAAGCAUUCCGCCUGGGGAGUACGGCCGCAAGUCUGAAACUCAAAGGAAUUGACGGGGGCCCGCACAAGCGGUGGAGCAUGUGGUUUAAUUCGAAGCUACGCGAAGAACCUUACCAGGUCUUGACAUACUAUGCAAAUCUAAGAGAUUAGACGUUCCCUUCGGGGACAUGGAUACAGGUGGUGCAUGGUUGUCGUCAGCUCGUGUCGUGAAAUGUUGGGUUAAGUCCCGCAACGAGCGCAACCCUUAUUAUCAGUUGCCAGCAUUAAGUUGGGCACUCUGGUGAGACUGCCGGUGACAAACCGGAGGAAGGUGGGGAUGACGUCAAAUCAUCAUGCCCCUUAUGACCUGGGCUACACACGUGCUACAAUGGAUGGUACAACGAGUUGCGAACUCGCGAGAGUAAGCUAAUCUCUUAAAGCCAUUCUCAGUUCGGAUUGUAGGCUGCAACUCGCCUACAUGAAGUCGGAAUCGCUAGUAAUCGCGGAUCAGCAUGCCGCGGUGAAUACGUUCCCGGGCCUUGUACACACCGCCCGUCACACCAUGAGAGUUUGUAACACCCAAAGUCGGUGGGGUAACCUUUU